CCCUUAGAUGUCCUGGACCGCACGCGUGCUACACUGACGCAUACAGCGAGUACUCCCGGCUCCGCAAUGGCAGCUGGUAAUCAUCAAUAUGCGUCGUGAUGGGGAUAGAUCUCUGGAAUUUUUGAUCUUGAACGAGGAAUGCCUAGUAAGCGCAGGUCAUCAGCCUGCGUUGAUUAAGUCCCUGCCCUUUGUACACACCGCCCGUCGCUCCUACCGAUUUCGAGUGGUCCGGUGAACCUUUCGGACCGGGAGCAGCCUCGUGCUGCGCCUGGAAAGUCAAGUAAACCACAUCACUUAGAGGAAGGAGAAGUCGUAACA
RNAcentral lists this ribosomal RNA (318 nucleotides) under uncultured eukaryote. Its description in RNAcentral is "partial 18S ribosomal RNA". It matches the Rfam family "Eukaryotic small subunit ribosomal RNA", at positions 1470 to 1796 of the family's 1831-position model. The record is from RNAcentral.